UCCGCGAUAGCUCAGUUGGUAGAGCAAAUGACUGUUAAUCAUUGGGUCCCUGGUUCGAGCCCAGGUCGUGGAGCCA
RNAcentral lists this transfer RNA (76 nucleotides) under Pseudomonas fluorescens. RNAcentral describes it as "tRNA-Asn". It matches the Rfam family "tRNA". From Rfam's summary of the family: Transfer RNA (tRNA) molecules are approximately 80 nucleotides in length. Their secondary structure includes four short double-helical elements and three loops (D, anti-codon, and T loops). Further hydrogen bonds mediate the characteristic L-shaped molecular structure. tRNAs have two regions of fundamental functional importance: the anti-codon, which is responsible for specific mRNA codon recognition, and the 3' end, to which the tRNAs corresponding amino acid is attached (by aminoacyl-tRNA synthetases). tRNAs cope with the degeneracy of the genetic code in two manners: having more than one tRNA (with a specific anti-codon) for a particular amino acid; and 'wobble' base-pairing, i.e. permitting non-standard base-pairing at the 3rd anti-codon position. Lineage: Bacteria; Pseudomonadati; Pseudomonadota; Gammaproteobacteria; Pseudomonadales; Pseudomonadaceae. The record is from RNAcentral.